RNAcentral lists this ribosomal RNA (536 nucleotides) under Onthophagus cribripennis. Its description in RNAcentral is "partial 16S ribosomal RNA". It matches the Rfam family "Bacterial large subunit ribosomal RNA", at positions 1851 to 2632 of the family's 2925-position model. Lineage: Eukaryota; Metazoa; Arthropoda; Insecta; Coleoptera; Scarabaeidae. The record is from RNAcentral.
AGUCUGACCUGCCCUAUGAUAAAAAUUAUAUUAAAUGGCCGCGAUAUUUUGAUCGUGCAAAGGUAGCAUAAUAAUUAGUUUUUUAAUUGAGAACUAGUAUGAAAGGUUGAACGAGAAAAAAACUGUCUCAAUUUAAUUUUUAUUAGAAUUUUAUUUUUAAGUAAAAAAGCUUAAAUAAUUUUAAAAGACGAGAAGACCCUAUAGAGUUUUAUAUUUAAUAUAAGAUUUUUUAGUUUAAGAAUUUAAUUUUAAAAAUUUAUAUAAAAUAUUUAGUUGGGGUGAUUGAAAAAUUAAAUAAACUUUUUUUAAAUUUUUUUACAUUAAUAAGUGAAUAGAUGAUCCAUUAUUUAUGAUUAAAAGAUUAAAUUACCUUAGGGAUAACAGCGUAAUUUUUUUUGAGAGUUCUUAUCGAAAAAAAAGUUUGCGACCUCGAUGUUGGAUUAAAUUAAAUUUUUGGUGUAGAAGCUAAAAUGUUAGGUCUGUUCGACCUUUAAAAUUUUACGUGAUCUGAGUUCAGACCGGNNNAAGCCGAAUUC